RNAcentral lists this long non-coding RNA (207 nucleotides) under Citrus maxima (pomelo). RNAcentral describes it as "long non-coding RNA (CMAX_LNC000290)". Lineage: Eukaryota; Viridiplantae; Streptophyta; Magnoliopsida; Sapindales; Rutaceae. The record is from RNAcentral.
CUCAAUAAUCAAAGGUAAACAUCCAGCGUUUUCAGCUACUUCCAGCCCAAACUUUGUUGCUUCAGCUUCUGCAUAAUCCACUUUAUCAAGCCAUUUCGUUGGCUUUAAAGCUGCUGCUAUAAGUUUGCCUUCUGAAUUUCUGAUUACAAUGUCCAAACCUACUCUUUGUUGGUCUAUCUUUACAACUGCAUCAACAUUCACCUUGAA